UCGAACUGAAAGGGCGUUUGGUGGAUGCCUAGGCAGCAAGAGGCGAUGAAGGACGUGAUACCCUGCGUUAAGCCAUGGGGAGCCGGGAAUAGGCUUUGAUCCAUGGAUGUCCGAAUGGAGGAACCCACCUGACAUUCUGUUAUUGUUACCUAUGGUAUCAAUAAUGGGGUGAACCAGGUACUUUAAUCCUGAAUACAUAGGGGUUUUAGAGCAAACCCGGGGAACUGAAACAUCUAAGUACCCGGAGGAAAGGAAAUCAAUAGAGACUCCGUCAGUAGCGGCGAGCGAACGCGGACCAGCCGAGCCUGGAAGAGUGACUGGAACUGUCUGGAAAGGCAGGCCACAGCGGGUGACAGCCCCGUACAGGAAGCUCCACGGGACAUAUCAAGUAGGGCGGGACACGUGUAAUCCUGUCUGAAGAUCGGGGGACCACCCCCGAAGGCUAAGUACUCCUUGCUGACCGAUAGCGAACCAGUACCGUGAGGGAAAGGUGAAAAGCACCCCGACGAGGGGAGUGAAACAGUACCUGAAACCGGACGCCUACAAGCAGUCGGAGGGGCCUUGAGCCCUGACGGCGUACCUUUUGUAUAAUGGGUCAACGACUUGGUCUAACGAGCAAGCUUAAGCCGAUAGGUGUAGGCGCAGCGAAAGCGAGUCUUAAAAGGGCGCAUGAGUUCGUUGGAUCAGACCCGAAACCAGAUGAUCUAGCCAUGUGCAGGAUGAAGGUUGGGUAACACCAACUGGAGGUCCGAACCAACACCCGUUGAAAAGGGUCUGGAUGACGUGUGGCUAGGGGUGAAAGGCCAAUCAAAUCUGGAGAUAGCUGGUUCUCCGCGAAAGCUAUUUAGGUAGCGCCUCGGACGAAUACCUCGGGGGGUAGAGCACUGCAUGGGUGAUGGGGUCCCACAGACUUACUGAGCCUAAGCAAACUCCGAAUACCCGAGAGUACUAUCCGGGAGACACACGGCGGGUGCUAACGUCCGUCGUGAAGAGGGAAACAACCCUGACCUGCAGCUAAGGCCCCUAAUUCGUGGCUAAGUGGGAAAGCAUGUGGGACGGCCAAAACAACCAGGAGGUUGGCUUAGAAGCAGCCAUCCUUUAAAGAUAGCGUAACAGCUCACUGGUCUAGAUAAGCUGUCCUGCGGCGAAGAUGUAACGGGGCUCAAGCCACGAGCCGAAGCUCAGGAUGCACAGCAAUGUGCGUGGUAGCGGAGCGUUCUGUGAUAUAGCUCAUUGCCUCUUCUCUGCCCUUCGGGGUGGAUCGGAGGCAGGGAGCUUUCUGUGAAGCCGGGCCGUGAGGCAUCCGGUGGAGAGAUCAGAAGCGAGAAUGUUGACAUGAGUAGCGACAAACAGGGUGAGAGACCCUGUCGCCGAAAGUCCAAGGGUUCCUGCUUAAAGCUAAUCUGAGCAGGGUAAGCCGGCCCCUAAGGCGAGGCCGAAAGGCGUAGUCGAUGGGAACCAGGUUAAUAUUCCUGGGCCAGGAGGAUGUGACGGAUCUCAGAGGUAGUUCAGGCUUAUCGGAUUGUCUGGGCUGCUGAGAGGUCCCUGGAAAUAGCCCUCCAUCAGACCGUACCCUAAACCGACACAGGUGGACUGGUAGAGUAUACCAAGGCGCUUGAGAGAACCACGUUAAAGGAACUCGGCAAAAUGCCUCCGUAAGUUCGCGAGAAGGAGGCCCCAUAUGUGCGCAAGCAUGUGUGGGGGGCACAAACUAGGGGGUGGCGACUGUUUACUUAAAACACAGGGCUCUGCGAAGCCGUAAGGCGACGUAUAGGGUCUGACGCCUGCCCGGUGCUGGAAGGUUAAAAGGAGGGGUGCAAGCUCCGAAUUGAAGCCCCAGUAAACGGCGGCCGUAACUAUAACGGUCCUAAGGUAGCGAAAUUCCUUGUCGGGUAAGUUCCGACCUGCACGAAUGGCGUAACGAUGGCCACACUGUCUCCUCCUGAGACUCAGCGAAGUUGA
RNAcentral lists this ribosomal RNA (1962 nucleotides) under freshwater metagenome. RNAcentral describes it as "bacterial LSU rRNA". It matches the Rfam family "Bacterial large subunit ribosomal RNA", at positions 15 to 2044 of the family's 2925-position model. The record is from RNAcentral.